GGACCUGACUGCUAUCGGAUUGAUACUAAGCCAUGCGAGUCAUUGUAGUAAUACAAGGCAGACGGCUCAGUAACGCGUAGUCAACCUACCCUAUGGACGGGGAUAACCUCGGGAAACUGAGAAUAAUACCCGAUAGAACAUUAUGCCUGGAAUGGUUUAUGUUUCAAAUAAUUUAUUGCCGUAGGAUGGGACUGCGGCCUAUCAGUUUGUUGGUGAGGUAAUGGCCCACCAAGACUAUUACAGGUACGGGCUCUGAGAGGAGUAGCCCGGAGAUGGGUACUGAGACACGGACCCAGGCCCUAUGGGGCGCAGCAGGCGAGAAAACUUUGCAAUGUGCGAAAGCACGACAAGGUUAAUCCGAGUGGUUUCUGCUAAAGGAACCUUUUGUCAGUCCUAGAAACACUGAUGAAUAAGGGGUGGGCAAGUUCUGGUGU
RNAcentral lists this ribosomal RNA (434 nucleotides) under uncultured archaeon. RNAcentral describes it as "bacterial SSU rRNA". It matches the Rfam family "Archaeal small subunit ribosomal RNA", at positions 19 to 458 of the family's 1478-position model. The record is from RNAcentral.